Ochotona princeps (American pika) is the source of this 326-nucleotide long non-coding RNA. RefSeq lists it as uncharacterized. The record is from RefSeq and is a predicted model, not a curated record. The transcript has 3 exons. Lineage: Eukaryota; Metazoa; Chordata; Mammalia; Lagomorpha; Ochotonidae.
GGGUUUGGGCGGCCGGCGGAGACGCGCGGGUGGCCGGCGAUGGCCGCGGAGGAGAGGACGCGGCGUCCGGGCCCAGCCCGCGACGGAGGCCCGCUCGAGGCGAGCGCCUUGCCGUGGCUGCCUCGCACCUGUCUGCAGCCUCAGGCAGGAGGUGACAUGCUGGAUCAGCGCUGCCCGGGAGAAAUGAAAGCAAGCCACAAAUGUGUAUUUAUUCAUCUGAAAGGCAGACGUGACCCUGAACAUGAAAGGAAGAGGCAGCGCUUCCAUCCACUACCAGUGGCCACAUCCCAGUGGAAGUCAGGAGCCUGCAGCUCCAUCCUGGUCUC